GGAGACACCUGUGUGACCAGAAAGGUCAGCACUGACAUCCAGGACAACAGAUGCAGCUGGCUGGCGGUUCAGUGUCUGCUACAGACCACUCCUCAACUGCAGCAGGUCUUGGAUGAGAAUUCUGGGCAGAAGGACCCAGAAAAGGUGGCCCAGGUGAAAGCACUGUGUGAGAUCUGCAGUGUGUGUUCUUCAAGUAUACGGAAGACAGACAGAACCACCUCAGCAUCUCACAGAGCAGUGCUCUGCCCUGUCCACCUUCCUGGAACUAGCAGACAAGAUCUACAAGCGGAGAAAUUGUCGAGGCUAGGAGGGAGGGAUCUCAAUAAAUUAUUGUUCAACCAAAAAGUCAAAUUGUAUUGCACAG
Molecule: long non-coding RNA, 364 nt
Filed under: Rattus norvegicus (Norway rat)
Lineage: Eukaryota; Metazoa; Chordata; Mammalia; Rodentia; Muridae
Description: long non-coding RNA NONRATT010313
Source: RNAcentral